Molecule: long non-coding RNA, 1399 nt
Organism: Engraulis encrasicolus (European anchovy)
Lineage: Eukaryota; Metazoa; Chordata; Actinopteri; Clupeiformes; Engraulidae
Exons: 4
Source: RefSeq, a predicted model, not a curated record
GAGAGAGAGAGAGAGAGAGAGAGAGAGAGAGAGAGAAUGUGUGCACGCAGAUAUAAGAAGUUGGGGUUGAUGAUCCACAUGAUGGUGAUGGACCAGGACAGCUCUGGACCUCCUGACUGGCAGCUCCAUCCUCAACCUCUCUUCCUGCCCUUCACACAUGUGCAGGCAGAGAGGCAGUUUUCUGAAGGAUGGUUGAUGUCAGUACCAACAUGUUGUGAUGGAGGCUUCCACCUGAGCUGAACACAGAAACUUGCACACAGUGAUGGAAGCAGUCGUUCCUGUUCAGCAUUGAUAUGCCGGUAAUGGGUUUGAUGAGCCACAGCAUGGUGAUGGGCAAUCAGCAUCAGGACCACGGCCGCUCACAAGGAGAACCUCCUGCCUCUUCAUCCUCAACCUCCAAUCUUCCUGCUCUUCACACAUGUGCAGGCACGGAGCCAGUUUUCAGAGGGAGGGCUGAUGACACCAGCAACUUCGGAUCUGAACCUGAUCAACCCAGCACCAACCACUGUGCCGCUCCUCCUCUACCAACUGCACCACAUGGCUCCACCAUCUCAAAAAGGCACAGACACUACUCCACUUCCUGCGAAGGAUGAGAGAAGAGCCGACCUCCCCACAACGGCACUCACCACCUUCUACAGGGGUGUCAUUGAGAGCAUCCUGACCAGCAGCCUCUCUGUCUGGCAUGGCAGCCGUCAAGAGUGGUGAGGACAGCAGAAAAGCUCAUAAGAUCACCCCUACCAGCCAUUCCGGAUCUGUACACUUCACACUGUUCCAAGAGGGCAAUGAACAUCAUAAAGACACAACUCAUCCAGCACACAGACUGUUCUCCCUACUACCAUCAGGGAAGCGCUAGCCCAGCAUGCGGUGCUGCAAAAGCACACUGGGAAACGGCUUCUUUCCACAAGCCAUCAGACUCCUCAACGCACUGAAGAAAACCACAUGAAUAACCAAGGACACGAGAGAAUAUUCCAUGAACACUUCUUUCACCAUGCCACUUACACUUUACUCAUUGCACCUUGUAUACAGCAUCUUCACAUCACCUGUAUGAACUCCUCCUGCCAUGUGUGUGUGUGUCCACUGUGUUUGUGUAUUUAUUGUCCAUCAGUAUGUUAAUUGCACACUGUUUGUGUGUCUGUGUGAGUGUAUUUAUUGUAUGUAUCAGUCUGUAUUUAAUGUCAAUGCCUUAUUUUUAGUUAUUAGUUAAAUGCACAUUGGAGACUGGUCAAACACAAUUUCAAACUUUGUGUUAACCCUCCAUAGAUUUUUGUCAAAAAAUUGAGUCUAAUCUACUGUACUACACAGGCUAUCAACAGACCACACAGUUGAGUGCUGUUUUAUGCACUCUGAAUAUGAGGAGAGGGAGAGGUGACCGUUCACACUUCAUAGUGUAAAAGUAAAC